This 465-nucleotide ribosomal RNA is filed under the name Vreelandella stevensii. RNAcentral's name for it is "partial 16S ribosomal RNA". It matches the Rfam family "Bacterial small subunit ribosomal RNA", at positions 338 to 795 of the family's 1533-position model. Lineage: Bacteria; Pseudomonadati; Pseudomonadota; Gammaproteobacteria; Oceanospirillales; Halomonadaceae. The record is from RNAcentral.
CCUACGGGGGGCAGCAGUGGGGAAUAUUGGACAAUGGGCGAAAGCCUGAUCCAGCCAUGCCGCGUGUGUGAAGAAGGCCUUCGGGUUGUAAAGCACUUUCAGUGGGGAAGAAAGCCUUGGGGCUAAUACCCUCGAGGAAGGACAUCACCCACAGAAGAAGCACCGGCUAACUCCGUGCCAGCAGCCGCGGUAAUACGGAGGGUGCGAGCGUUAAUCGGAAUUACUGGGCGUAAAGCGCGCGUAGGCGGUCUGAUAAGCCGGUUGUGAAAGCCCCGGGCUCAACCUGGGAACGGCAUUCGGAACUGUCAGGCUAGAGUGCAGGAGAGGAAGGUAGAAUUCCCGGUGUAGCGGUGAAAUGCGUAGAGAUCGGGAGGAAUACCAGUGGCGAAGGCGGCCUUCUGGACUAACACUGACGCUGAGGUGCGAAAGCGUGGGUAGCAAACAGGAUUAGAUACCCCAGUAGUC